Molecule: ribosomal RNA, 497 nt
Filed under: uncultured bacterium
Lineage: Bacteria
Description: partial 16S ribosomal RNA
Rfam family: Bacterial small subunit ribosomal RNA
Source: RNAcentral
GAUGAACGCUGGCGGCGUGCCUAAUACAUGCAAGUCGAGCGAACAGACGAGGAGCUUGCUCCUCUGACGUUAGCGGCGGACGGGUGAGUAACACAUGGUUAACCUAACUAUAAGACUGGGAUAACUUCGGGAAACCGGAGCUAAUACCGGAUAAUAUAUUGAACCGCAUGGUUCCAGAGUUAAAGACGGUUUUGCUUUCACUUAUAGACGGAUCCGCCCCGCAUUAGUUAGUUGGUUAGGUAACGGCUUACCAAGGCGGCGAUGCGUAGCCGCCCUGAAAGGGACAUCCGCCACACUGGAUCUGAGCAACGGUCCAGACUCCUACGGGAGGAAGCGGCAGGGACUCCUACGCGAUGGGCGAAUGCGUAACGGAGCAACACCGGGUGAGUGAUGAAGCUCUUAGGAUCGUAGAGCUAUGUUAUUAUGGAAGAUCAAAUGUGUAAGUAACUAUGCACGUCUUGACAGUACCUAAUCAGAAAGCUACGGCUAACUACGUG